This 560-nucleotide ribosomal RNA is filed under the name uncultured bacterium. RNAcentral's name for it is "partial 16S ribosomal RNA". It matches the Rfam family "Bacterial small subunit ribosomal RNA", at positions 355 to 1375 of the family's 1533-position model. The record is from RNAcentral.
UGGGGAAUCUUGCGCAAUGGGCGAAAGCCUGACGCAGCCAUGCCGCGUGAAUGAUGAAGGUCUUAGGAUUGUAAAAUUCUUUCACCGGGGACGAUAAUGACGGUACCCGGAGAAGAAGCCCCGGCUAACUUCGUGCCAGCAGCCGCGGUAAUACGAAGGGGGCUAGCGUUGCUCGGAAUUACUGGGCGUAAAGGGCGCGUAGGCGGACAGUUUAGUCAGAGGUGAAAGCCCAGGGCUCAACCUUGGAAUUGCCUUUGAUACUGGCUGUCUUGAGUACGGGAGAGGUGUGUGGAACUCCGAGUGUAGAGGUGAAAUUCGUAGAUAUUCGGAAGAACACCAGUGGCGAAGGCGACACACUGGCCCGUUACUGACGCUGAGGCGCGAAAGCGUGGGGAGCAAACAGGAUUAGAUACCCUGGUAGUCCACGCCGUAAACGAUGAGUGCUAGUUGUCGGCAUGCAUGCAUGUCGGUGACGCAGCUAACGCAUUAAGCACUCCGCCUGGGGAGUACGGUCGCAAGAUUAAAACUCAAAGGAAUUGACGGGGUCAUAGCUGUUUCCU